RNAcentral lists this ribosomal RNA (228 nucleotides) under uncultured archaeon. Its description in RNAcentral is "partial 16S ribosomal RNA". It matches the Rfam family "Archaeal small subunit ribosomal RNA", at positions 23 to 246 of the family's 1478-position model. The record is from RNAcentral.
GCCACUGCUAUUGGGGUUCGGCUAAGCCAUGCGAGUGGAGGGCGUCCCGCAAGGGAUGGCCCCGCAGACGGCUCAGUAACACGUCGUCAACCCACCUUAGGGUGGGGGACAACCUCGGGAAACUGAGGAUGAUCCCCCAUAGGCGGGGGAGGCUGGAAUGCGCCCCCGCUGAAAGCUCAGGCGCCCUAGGACGGGACGGCGGCCUAUCAGGUAGUUGGUGGUGUGACG